This 253-nucleotide ribosomal RNA is filed under the name uncultured bacterium. Its description in RNAcentral is "partial 16S ribosomal RNA". It matches the Rfam family "Bacterial small subunit ribosomal RNA", at positions 524 to 776 of the family's 1533-position model. The record is from RNAcentral.
UACGGAGGGUGCAAGCGUUGUCCGGAAUCACUGGGCGUAAAGGGCGCGUAGGCGGCUCAUGAAGGCUGUGGUGAAAGUCCGGGGCUCAACCUCGGAUCGGCCGUGGCGACUCGUGGGCUGGAGCACUGUAGAGGCGGGUGGAAUUCCGGGUGUAGCGGUGGAAUGCGUAGAGAUCCGGAAGAACACCCGUGGCGAAGGCGGCCCACUGGGCCGGUACUGACGCUGAGGCGCGAAGGCGUGGGGAGCGAACGGG